Molecule: ribosomal RNA, 905 nt
Filed under: Bacillus paralicheniformis
Lineage: Bacteria; Bacillati; Bacillota; Bacilli; Caryophanales; Bacillaceae
Description: bacterial SSU rRNA
Rfam family: Bacterial small subunit ribosomal RNA
Source: RNAcentral
UUUUUUUUUUUUUUUUUUUUUUUCUCUCAGACGAACGCGGCGGCGUGCCUAAUACAUGCAAGUCGAGCGGACAGAUGGGAGCUUGCUCCCUGAUGUUAGCGGCGGACGGGUGAGUAACACGUGGGUAACCUGCCUGUAAGACUGGGAUAACUCCGGGAAACCGGGGCUAAUACCGGAUGCUUGAUUGAACCGCAUGGUUCAAUUAUAAAAGGUGGCUUUUAGCUACCACUUACAGAUGGACCCGCGGCGCAUUAGCUAGUUGGUGAGGUAACGGCUCACCAAGGCAACGAUGCGUAGCCGACCUGAGAGGGUGAUCGGCCACACUGGGACUGAGACACGGCCCAGACUCCUACGGGAGGCAGCAGUAGGGAAUCUUCCGCAAUGGACGAAAGUCUGACGGAGCAACGCCGCGUGAGUGAUGAAGGUUUUCGGAUCGUAAAACUCUGUUGUUAGGGAAGAACAAGUACCGUUCGAAUAGGGCGGUACCUUGACGGUACCUAACCAGAAAGCCACGGCUAACUACGUGCCAGCAGCCGCGGUAAUACGUAGGUGGCAAGCGUUGUCCGGAAUUAUUGGGCGUAAAGCGCGCGCAGGCGGUUUCUUAAGUCUGAUGUGAAAGCCCCCGGCUCAACCGGGGAGGGUCAUUGGAAACUGGGGAACUUGAGUGCAGAAGAGGAGAGUGGAAUUCCACGUGUAGCGGUGAAAUGCGUAGAGAUGUGGAGGAACACCAGUGGCGAAGGCGACUCUCUGGUCUGUAACUGACGCUGAGGCGCGAAAGCGUGGGGAGCGAACAGGAUUAGAUACCCUGGUAGUCCACGCCGUAAACGAUGAGUGCUAAGUGUUAGAGGGUUUCCGCCCUUUAGUGCUGCAGCAAACGCAUUAAGCACUCCGCCUGGAGACGGACC